UCAGUGUGUGUGUUAGUGGAAGCGUCUGGAAAGGCGCGCGAUACAGGGUGACAGCCCCGUACACAAAAAUGCACAUGCUGUGAGCUCGAUGAGUAGGGCGGGACACGUGGUAUCCUGUCUGAAUAUGGGGGGACCAUCCUCCAAGGCUAAAUACUCCUGACUGACCGAUAGUGAACCAGUACCGUGAGGGAAAGGCGAAAAGAACCCCGGCGAGGGGAGUGAAAAAGAACCUGAAACCGUGUACGUACAAGCAGUGGGAGCACAGAGCAAUCUGUGUGACUGCGUACCUUUUGUAUAAUGGGUCAGCGACUUAUAUUCUGUAGCAAGGUUAACCGAAUAGGGGAGCCGAAGGGAAACCGAGUCUUAACUGGGCGUUAAGUUGCAGGGUAUAGACCCGAAACCCGGUGAUCUAGCCAUGGGCAGGUUGAAGGUUGGGUAACACUAACUGGAGGACCGAACCGACUAAUGUUGAAAAAUUAGCGGAUGACUUGUGGCUGGGGGUGAAAGGCCAAUCAAACCGGGAGAUAGCUGGUUCUCCCCGAAAGCUAUUUAGGUAGCGCCUCGUGAAUUCAUCUCCGGGGGUAGAGCACUGUUUCGGCAAGGGGGUCAUCCCGACUUACCAACCCGAUGCAAACUGCGAAUACCGGAGAAUGUUAUCACGGGAGACACACGGCGGGUGCUAACGUCCGUCGUGAAGAGGGAAACAACCCAGACCGCCAGCUAAGGUCCCAAAGUCAUGGUUAAGUGGGAAACGAUGUGGGAAGGCCCAGACAGCCAGGAUGUUGGCUUAGAAGCAGCCAUCAUUUAAAGAAAGCGUAAUAGCUCACUGGUCGAGUCGGCCUGCGCGGAAGAUGUAACGGGGCUAAACCAUGCACCGAAGCUGCGGCAGCGACGCUGAUGCGUUGUUGGGUAGGGGAGCGUUCUGUAAGCCUGUGAAGGUGUGCUGUGAGGCAUGCUGGAGGUAUCAGAAGUGCGAAUGCUGACAUAAGUAACGAUAAAGCGGGUGAAAAGCCCGCUCGCCGGAAGACCAAGGGUUCCUGUCCAACGUUAAUCGGGGCAGGGUGAGUCGACCCCUAAGGCGAGGCCGAAAGGCGUAGUCGAUGGGAAACAGGUUAAUAUUCCUGUACUUGGUGUUACUG
This 1139-nucleotide ribosomal RNA is filed under the name Escherichia coli. Its description in RNAcentral is "partial 23S ribosomal RNA". It matches the Rfam family "Bacterial large subunit ribosomal RNA", at positions 317 to 1456 of the family's 2925-position model. Lineage: Bacteria; Pseudomonadati; Pseudomonadota; Gammaproteobacteria; Enterobacterales; Enterobacteriaceae. The record is from RNAcentral.